This 370-nucleotide long non-coding RNA is filed under the name Trifolium pratense (red clover). RNAcentral describes it as "long non-coding RNA (TPRA_LNC013992)". Lineage: Eukaryota; Viridiplantae; Streptophyta; Magnoliopsida; Fabales; Fabaceae. The record is from RNAcentral.
CUUCAACCUCUAUUAUUCGCAAAAGGAUGGGGAAGAAAAAUUGGGUUUAUCAAGUUAUUUGAACCCAAAAAUCAAACAGUAUAUUUCGGGAAAUUACCCAAAAAUCAAACCUCUAUUAUGCUUCUCUUUGUAAAAUUACUCCUUUUUCUUGUGUUUGGUUUUGCUCCAACAAAUGGGCUCAAAGUGUUCCCUUCCAAAUUGGAAACCAUCUAAAUAAUUAUCACUUUUUCAAGAACAACAACAUCAUCAAUUGUGAUUCCGACGAACUCGAGUGGAAAGGUGUCGUCGUCGGUGAAUCAAUUGCUAUCUUUCAUUAUUCCGAUAUUGAAUACAUUAGUUACGAUGGAGAACAUCACCUCCCCCUAAUAUC